UUCUUCUUCUUCUUUUUUUUUUUCCUUGACAUGGGUAGAGUUACUUAAUUCCUAAUUUACUGAGGAGCAUUUAUGGUUCUUCAUAUCUGUCUUGCAUUUCAAUGAUGGAAACUGUCUGUUGAUUGCACGAGUAGUGACUGAAAAUCAAGCUUGCCAUUGGUUAAUCUUUCUCCCAGUUCUUUUACUAGAUGUAUAUAUUUGAUUAAAUGAUUGAUGUACAAAUAUUGUUUGUGGAAUUCCUUUAGGAUGGAAGAGCUGAUACCUAUAUUACUUGAGUAUAUCAGAAGCCGUCAAAAACCUGGUGGCUAUGUACUGUUGGUGGCUCACAAUGCUCGUAUUUUUGAUGUACCGUUUUUGACUAAUGAAUUUAGUCGAUGUGGUGC
RNAcentral lists this unclassified non-coding RNA (383 nucleotides) under Hevea brasiliensis (rubber tree). Lineage: Eukaryota; Viridiplantae; Streptophyta; Magnoliopsida; Malpighiales; Euphorbiaceae. The record is from RNAcentral.